CGUGGGGGCGUAAGCAGGCGCGGCCCCGGGAGCCCAGGGCGCAGGCGCAUAACCAGGGCCGCGCAGGGUCUGCGGAUCCGCGGCGGUCGCGGUCUCCGCUGCUGGGAUGGAGGUGAGGGGCCGCGAUGCUGUGAGGUUGUUUGAGUUCCCCACGGACGAGGCGCUCCCUUCUCCUUCCGUGGCUAGCGACUGGGGGAGGUCACCCGGGACCGAAAUUCUGCAUUGAGGUGGCUGCAGUCAGAGGCGCGCAGAUUGGGAAGUUGGCCAUCAUGUAUAUAGAGAGGUUGAGAACUGCUCGGUACUCUGCGAAGGACUCGUGUGAGGUUUUACAACUCUUCUUCCAGCAAACCACAAAGAGUAUUUAAGAACAACUAGGAACACCGUGGGCUGUUCUUUGUGGACAGGGUACCAGGUGGCUCUAUGCAACCACAGAGAAGGGCAGGAGUGAUGAAGCAUCACGCCCGAGAUGAAGCCGAAAGACUACAGCUUCCACCUCUUCAACAUCACUCCCUCUGGGGAAACCAGCUGCCGUGUUGGGAGGAUACUCAGGGAACCUCUGGAGAAACCCCCCAGGGUGCAGAACUGAGGCUUCCAACACUGAUGAUGCAAGUGAGCCCCCCAAGGAGGCAGCCUGGGCUGGCAGUGCAAACCGAGGCCCUGAAGGGGCCCUGAGCCAACAGCACUCAGUCUCGCUGCUCCCAGAUUCUGACUCGCAGAAACUGGGUCAUAAUAAAUGUUUGCUGUCUCGGGCUGCUGAGUUUUGGAGUUCUCUGUUACACAGCAACAGACAAGUGCUCUUCCUUAAGAGAGUCCUGUGGAAAAGAAUAACUUAAAUAGGAGAGGUUUUAAGAGCCCAAUUUCUCAAAAACAUUAAGAAAUAAAGUAGUUCUGACCCAGCUGCA
Molecule: long non-coding RNA, 902 nt
Organism: Mustela lutreola (European mink)
Lineage: Eukaryota; Metazoa; Chordata; Mammalia; Carnivora; Mustelidae
Exons: 3
Source: RefSeq, a predicted model, not a curated record